UACGAAGGGGGCUAGCGUUGCUCGGAAUCACUGGGCGUAAAGCGCACGUAGGCGGAUUCUUAAGUCAGGGGUGAAAUCCUGGAGCUCAACUCCAGAACUGCCUUUGAUACUGGGAGUCUCGAGUCCGGGAGAGGUGAGUGGAACUGCGAGUGUAGAGGUGAAAUUCGUAGAUAUUCGCAAGAACACCAGUGGCGAAGGCGGCUCACUGGCCCGGUACUGACGCUGAGGCGCGAAAGCGUGGGGAGCAAACAGG
This 253-nucleotide ribosomal RNA is filed under the name uncultured bacterium. Its description in RNAcentral is "partial 16S ribosomal RNA". It matches the Rfam family "Bacterial small subunit ribosomal RNA", at positions 524 to 776 of the family's 1533-position model. The record is from RNAcentral.